Molecule: ribosomal RNA, 429 nt
Filed under: Gemmatimonadota bacterium
Lineage: Bacteria; Pseudomonadati; Gemmatimonadota
Description: Gemmatimonadetes bacterium partial 16S ribosomal RNA
Rfam family: Bacterial small subunit ribosomal RNA
Source: RNAcentral
UAGGGAAUCUUAGGCAAUGGACGAAAGUCUGACCGAGCAACGCCGCGUGAGGGAAGAAGGUUUUCGGAUCGUAAAAUUCUGUUGUUAGAGAAGAACAAGGACGGUAGUAACUGAACGUCGCCUGACGGAAUCUAACCAGAAAGCCACGGCUAACCACGUGCCAGCAGCCGCGGUAAUACGUAGGUGGCAAGCGUUGUCCGGAUUUAUUGGGCGUAAAGCGAGCGCAGGCGGUUUCUUAAGUCUGAUGUGAAAGCCCCCGGCCCAACCGGGGAGCGUCAUUGGAAACUGGGAGGCUUGAGUGCAGAAGAGGAGAGUGGAAUUCCAUGUGUAGCGGUGAAAUGCGUAGAUAUAUGGAGGAACACCAGUGGCGAAGGCGGCUCUCUGGGCUGUUACUGACGCUGAGGCUCGAAAGCGUGGGGAGCAAACAGG